RNA transcript from Varanus komodoensis (Komodo dragon), 5942 nucleotides. It is a transcript of the gene named ADAM metallopeptidase with thrombospondin type 1 motif 6, with no coding region annotated. The record is from RefSeq and is a predicted model, not a curated record. The transcript is spliced from 26 exons. Lineage: Eukaryota; Metazoa; Chordata; Lepidosauria; Squamata; Varanidae.
AGGGUGCUAGAUAGACUGGAUGAAUUGAUGGCAUCCUUUUUCCUGCCUAGUCAGUCCAUUUUCUAAGCUUCCCCUUUUUAGAAGAGGCUAGAGGAUUUUAUUCUCCUCUAGAAUAUAACUCUGGCGUGGCUUGCCAAGAGGGGGAAAUCAGAGAGAGGAAUACGGGAACCCGCCAGUACAAUUUCUAUUGUUUGAAACUCACUUUGUAGCAAAGAAAUUGAAGAUGAAAACGGUAAAGAAAUGGACAUUUAUAUGCUAUUCAUUUUAACUCCUCAAUGGCAUGUGAAGGAAUGAUUUUUAAAAUUUGCUUUUGGAUUAAAAAUGUCUGCAGACUUUAAAAAAGGAGCAUAUGAUUGCAAAACACCUAUCAAGAAGUGGAACAAAUAGCUAAUCCUGAAGAAAUAUAAUAAAUCCUGGUUAUGGUGCCAUACUGGAGUGGAGUUAAAGCUGUAUCACAUAGGUAGCUUACUUCUUAUAAAUUAUGGAAAUAUUGUGGAAGACGUUGACUUGGAUGUUGUGCUUAAUUAUGGUUUUGUCAGAAUUUCAUGGUGACAACAGGCUUUCAUACAAUUCUCAAGAGGAAUUCCUGUCUUAUCUUGAACACUACCAACUAACAAUCCCAAUAAGGGUUGAUCAUAAUGGAGCCUUCCUCAGCUUUACUGUGAAAAACACUAAGCCCUCCAAGAGAAAGAAGAGGAGUACUGAACAUUAUGACCAAGAACUGGCAGUUUCUAAAUUAUUUUUUAAACUUUCUGCCUAUGGCAAGCACUUUCAUUUAAACCUGACUCUCAACACAGAUUUGGUCUCCAAACACUUCACAGUAGAAUACUGGGGGAGAGAUGGACCUCAGUGGAAGCAUGACUUUUUAGACAACUGUCAUUAUACAGGAUAUUUACAUGGCCAGCAUGGUACAACUAAAGUAGCAUUAAGCAACUGCAAUGGUCUGCAUGGUGUUAUUGCUACGGAAGAUGAAGAGUAUUUUAUUGAGCCUCUAAGAAAUGCAACUGAAAAUUUCAAUAAUUUCAGUUAUGAAAGUGGUCAUCCUCAUGUCAUUUACAAAAAGUCUGCCAUGUAUCAUCAGCUCUUCUAUGACCAUACUCAUUGUGGUGUCUCAGAAGACCCCACAGGAAGCAGUGAACCUUGGAGGUUGAACACUACCAUUGCUUUUCCAACUUUAUUUUCAAUUAAUCAAACCUUAAGAAAUCACCAUCGACUGAAGAGAUCAAUAAGCACAGAACGUUUUGUGGAGACACUGGUAGUAGCAGACAAAAUGAUGGUGGGAUACCAUGGACGCAAAGAUAUUGAGCAUUAUAUUUUGAGUGUCAUGAAUAUUGUUGCCAAACUUUACCGUGAUUCCAGCCUAGGAAACGUUGUGAAUAUUAUAGUAACUCGUUUAAUAGUCCUCACAGAAGAUCAGCCAAACUUGGAGAUAAAUCACCAUGCAGACAAGUCCCUUGAUAGCUUCUGUAAGUGGCAGAAAUCCAUUCUCUCUCACCAAAGUGAUGGAAACACCAUUCCAGAAAAUGGCAUUGCCCACCAUGAUAAUGCGGUCCUUAUUACUAGAUAUGAUAUCUGCACAUAUAAAAACAAGCCUUGUGGAACACUGGGCUUGGCCUCUGUUGCUGGAAUGUGUGAGCCUGAAAGGAGCUGUAGCAUUAAUGAAGAUAUUGGCUUAGGUUCUGCUUUUACUAUAGCACAUGAGAUUGGUCACAAUUUUGGUAUGAACCAUGAUGGAAUUGGAAAUUCUUGUGGGACCAAAGGUCAUGAAGCAGCAAAACUUAUGGCAGCGCACAUUACAGCAAACACCAACCCCUUCUCAUGGUCAUCCUGCAGCAGGGAUUAUAUCACCAGCUUUUUAGAUUCAGGCCGUGGUACUUGUCUUGAUAAUGAGCCUCCAAAGCGUGACUUCCUUUAUCCUGCAGUGGCCCCAGGUCAGGUGUAUGAUGCUGAUGAACAGUGUCGCUUCCAGUAUGGAGCAACAUCACACCAGUGUAAAUAUGGGGAAGUGUGUAGAGAGCUUUGGUGUCUCAGCAAAAGUAACCGCUGUGUUACCAACAGUAUUCCAGCAGCUGAGGGUACACUUUGCCAAACUGGAAGUAUUGAAAAAGGGUGGUGUUAUCAGGGAGAGUGCGUACCUUUUGGCACUUGGCCCCAGAGCAUAGAUGGGGGUUGGGGUCCCUGGUCAAUAUGGGGAGAGUGCAGCAGGACCUGCGGGGGAGGAGUCUCAUCAUCCAUAAGACACUGUGACAGUCCAGCACCUUCAGGUGGAGGAAAAUAUUGUCUUGGAGAAAGAAAACGAUAUCGCUCAUGUAAUACUGAUCCAUGUCCAUUUGGAGCCCGUGAUUUCCGUGAAAAACAAUGUGCAGAUUUUGACAAUAUGCCUUUCCGAGGAAAAUACUACAACUGGAAACCCUAUACAGGAGGUGGGGUUAAGCCAUGUGCGUUAAACUGCUUAGCAGAAGGUUACAACUUUUAUACUGAACGUGCCCCUGCAGUAAUAGAUGGAACCCAGUGCAAUGCAGAUUCACUGGAUAUUUGCAUAAAUGGAGAAUGCAAGCAUGUUGGAUGUGACAAUAUUUUGGGAUCUGAUGCUAAAGAAGACAGGUGUCGGGUAUGUGGAGGAGAUGGCAGUACAUGUGAAGCUAUUGAAGGUUUUUGCAAUGACACAUUGCCUAGAGGAGGCUACAUGGAAGUGGUUCAGAUUCCAAAAGGUUCUGUUCACAUUGAAAUAAAAGAAGUGGCAGUGUCAAAGAACUACAUUGCUUUGAAAUCUGAGGAAGAUGACUAUUAUGUUAAUGGUGCCUGGACUAUUGACUGGCCUAGAAAAUUUGAUGUUGCUGGGACAGCUUUCCAUUACAAAAGACCAGCAGAUGAACCAGAAUCCUUGGAAGCCUUAGGACCUACCUCAGAAAACCUCAUAGUCAUGAUUUUACUACAGGAGCAAAACCUGGGCAUAAGGUAUAAAUUCAAUGUUCCCAUCUCUCGUACUGGCAGUGGCGACAAUGAAGUUGGGUUUACAUGGAAUCACCUACCUUGGUCAGAAUGUUCAGCUACUUGUGCUGGAGGUGUGCAAAAACAAGAAAUAGUGUGUAAAAGGCUGGAUGAUAAUUCUAUAGUACAGAACAAUUACUGUGAUCCUGACAGUAAGCCACCAGAAAAUCAAAGAGCCUGCAACACUGAGCCUUGCCCACCUGAGUGGUUUAUAGGAGAUUGGUCAGAAUGCAGUAAGACCUGUGAUGGUGGAAUGCGAUCACGAACAGUUUUGUGUAUCAGGAAGAUUGGACCAUCUGAAGAGGAGACAUUGGACAGUAGCCAUUGUUUAACACACCAGCCAAUAGAAAAAGAAUCCUGUAACAACCAGACUUGCCCCCCACAAUGGGUUCCUUUGGAUUGGUCAGAAUGUACUCCAAAAUGUGGUCCUGGUUUCAAGCAUCGAAUUGUUCUUUGCAAAAGCAGUGACCUUUCAAAAACAUUUCCAGUUGCGCAUUGCCAAGAAGAAAACAAGCCACCAGUCCGCAUGCGCUGUAGCUUGGGCAGAUGUCCACCACCACGAUGGGUCACUGGAGACUGGGGACAGUGUUCUGCGCAGUGUGGUCUUGGACAACAAAUGAGAACUGUGCAGUGUCUCUCAUAUACUGGGCAAGCAUCCAGUGACUGUCCAGAUCUUCUUAGGCCUCCAUCAAUGCAGCAAUGUGAAAGCAAAUGUGAUAGUACUCCCAUUUCCAACACAGAAGAAUGCAAAGAUGUGAAUAAAGUGGCUUAUUGCCCACUGGUGCUGAAGUUCAAGUUCUGCAGUCGAGCAUACUUCAGACAGAUGUGCUGUAAGACCUGCCAAGGACAUUGACCCACAGAAAUGGAAAGUGCCUUGUUAUUUCAUUGAGGAAAUGUGUCCAUCAAAGACUGCUGCACAGUGCAACCAGACAGAUGUCCUUGUAAAUGCAUCACCCUGUGGAAAAUGUAACCACUGGACAUUGAUAUUGCAAAGAGUGUUUCCACGAACACAUUUUGCUCUUUCAUUGGUGCUAGAAGACCAGGGAGUCCAAUGUUUACUCUGCAGCAUAGAAGAGCACUGAGUUUGGAAUUUAAGAAUCCUUGGAGCAAUUGUGACUUGCAUUGCUAAAGGGAAUAAACUACAGAAUGUAGUGGGAUUACAAAUCUGGACCUAAAUAAAACCUGAAUGAAAGAGGUCAGUCAUUGGUUUCCACAGCACAGGACAUUGCUGCUGCUACACUAUAGCCAUCUAUAUAAUCUAAGCUAAAAUUAUUAAGUAUUGUAUUCCUAACAAAUGACAAUAUGACCAUUAGCAUAGGCUACAGAAAGAUGGGAAGCCUAGGAAUUCAGUAGUAGGAUAAUAAACAUAAUGUGUUGCUGAUAUUUCCACUGAGCAAUGCCACCAAUUCUAAGACUCUCAUACUGAAACAAAAUGCCUACAAUUCAACCUGUCAAAAUAUAUACACCUAGGAUCAAUCCAUUUUAGGGAGAAUUUAUUAAUGUUAUGGAUAUCACAUAAACUUUCUUAACAAUACAUAAAGAACCCUUUCUAUUAUUGUGAUUAGUUGCUUAUUAUUUUAUAUGCAGUAUUAAUGUGGUACACUGUUACAUUGUUAUUAUUUUUAUUUGCUUUUGUAAAUUAUAUGCUAAUUUAUUUCCAUUGUUUCCUAACACUUGUUCCUACAUGCCAUACAUUCAGCUGCUUGUAACACUUGAUGCAGUAAAAUUCCACACCAGGCACAGAUUUGUUUUUAACAUAGAUAAUUUAGUAAAAUAAAAACUGCAGCUUUAAAGAAUAAGCCUUAUGGUAGCAAUCUGUUCACUGACAUCCCUCUACAGGAAUUUUGUGAGCACAAAUAUUUACAGCAUUGAAAAACAGAUCUGAAAGUAUAUUUACUUUUGGUUAAAGAUAACACAUCAGGCAAUGUCUCUUUGCUGUCUCAGUCAUGUUCCCGGCUUUAACUGCCUUUGGACAUGUUGUGGAAAGGCCAUGGAGUACAGUCCACCAAGUACUGCUGCUAUAUUUAAUAUUAAGAUUUAAUAUUAAUCGCAUCUGCCAGAUGGUGAUCAUGGUCCUUUUAGGGGAAACUUUAGCUUUUUGCAUACUGACCUAGUUUCUAGUUUUAACUGGGAGAAGAUGGUGGACUGUGAACUGAUGAGCAAUGGGACAGAAGCUAGAACAACUGCAUACUCUCCUGCUAUCCCACAUCUGGCAUCUCUCACCAUGAAGGAAAUCUUGUAAAGCAGGAUCAAAGGGCUUAAAGGCAAAAUAUACCUGACCAUAUAAUCUAAUUAAAGAUUUAUUUUGGAUUUUAGGAACACGUUUCCAUUAAUAUUUUCUCUUCAUAGCCACUUUUCACUUUGCAUAUUGCACACUAUACACACACACACACACUAUAUAUACUAUAUAUUCCACACUUUAUUACAAAAAAGAACCUCUCCCAUAUUCUAUAAGAGCCAAUCCAUAUCUUUACAGUUUUCUGCCAUUUUCAGGAGGAACUUUUUUUUCCUCUUAUUGUGGAUGCAUUCCUAUGGAACUCAGCCUCAUUGUACAGAGUAAGCAAUACUGAAGGCUGCCUAUAAAUUGCAUCAGUGAGAAAUUCCAGAAAAGUUUCUAGAAUGGGACAGGUUAGCAGACCUCACUAAAGGGAGCUCUGCUGAGCCUUUAUUUUCUAGAAAUGAAUGUUUUGGUUCAUUUCCAGAUGCCUUAUCUGUUGUAUUUAUUAGAUUUAUAUCCUGCUUUUUCAUACAAUGAACUCAAAAUGGCUUAUCAAAUUCUCUUCCUGCAGUGCUCAAACUUAUCCUCACAACACAGCCCUAUGAGGUAGGUUGGGGUGAGAGUCACCAAGUUGGCUCCAUGGCUGAGCAGCAAGUAGUACUCCAAUCACCUGAAGACCAUUCUUGUGCUCUUAACCACUACACCACACUAGCUGUUUGGAAGUUUUUUUAGG